UAAAAAAAGAAAUUUAUUGACAAGAUUCAUUACAAGUACCACUGUAAAGCCAUUUUAUUGUAAACUAUUAGCAAAAAGUAACACGCAUAAGCAGCAAACGAACAAAAACACUGGAAAUACUACUUUAUUUUACAGUAAGUAAAUCAAAACAGUGUACAGUAUUCCUGGUUUAGUGUCAACAAUAUGUUGUACAACUAUGAUAAAACCUAAACUCGUAAAUGUAUUACUCUUAUUAAACUUUCUAUUUUUAAACUCCAGUUCCUUUUCAAUAAAUGCAAAAAUGCCAUUUGCCUUCUUAACUACACAUUGGAUCCGCAUACCAACUUCUUCUGAUUCAAGUCAAGUUUAUUGUCAUUUAGUAAGGAUAAAAUCUACAUAUGAAUUAUGCUUUAUUAAACAAAGUGCAAAAAUUAAAUAUUGAAGAGUACAGACCAGUUUAACCAGUGACAUUUUGAAUGUGACACAGCAGCAAAUUCAGAAGCCUAAUGGGAAACUGUUUCCCAUCCUGGGUGUUUUGUCUUUAUGCAUCAGAGUCUCCUGCCUGAUGGUAGGAAGUUAAGGAGGGAGCUCGAUGGAUGGGUGGGAUCCUUAAUAAUACUAAGGGCCCGCGAACACAGUGCUCCUGAUAUAUGUCCCCGAUGAAUGGUAAGGAGAUCCUAUGAUCCUCUUGACCAUUCUCACAAAUCCUUCGAAGGGACUACCAGUCCAAUGUUCUGCUGCUCCCAUACCAGAUGGAAAUGCAACUUGUUAGGAUGCUCUGAAUGGCACUUCACCUCUUGGAUUCCCCAAAUUUCACUCCUACGAAGUCUCUCUCCAUUUUGAUAUUAAACUUGCCUUUUGGUUCCAGAAGUGCAUUACCCCAAAUAGUCCCUAAGUCCCUAUUCUAUCCCUAUAGAAUAUCCCUAUAAGUCCCUAAUAGUCCCUAUUCUAUCUAUGUCAGAAUGCAGAAUCACGGUGUCACUCUCGGAACACAUUCUUCCACCCACGUAUGUAUCAUCUGCAAACUUGGAAACCUUACAUUUCAUUCCUGCCUCUAAUUCAUUAAUGUCAAUAGUAUAUAAUUGAGAGCCAAUCUCUCCACUCUUGUUACAUCCAAACCCAGCCUGAUACGGACCAAUGUAUUUCAAUGUUCUGUCUUCUAUGUCACAGCCAGUGUUCAAUCCAUGCAGCGUCAUGGCCUGGAAUGGGAACACCAAUGCCUUUAAAUGGAAAGUCCUACAAAAAAGGUAGUGGAUUCGGCCCUGUACCUCACAGGUAAAACCCGCCCAACCAUUGAGCAUAUCUACAUGAAACGCUGCCGUAGGAAAGCAAAAAUCUUCACCACCUGGGCCAUGCUCUCUUCUUGCUGCUGCCAUCAGGAGGAAGUUACAAGAGCCUCAGGACUCGCACCACCAGGUUCAAGAACAGUAACUACCCCUCAACCAUCAGGCUCUUGAACAAAAGGGGAUAACUACAUUCACCUGCCCAUAUAUUGAAAUGUUUCCAUAACCAGUAACCUCACUUUAAGGACUCCUUAUCUUGUUAUUUCAUGUUCUCGUUACUUAUUGCUAUUUGUUUAUAUCUACAUUUGCACAGUCUGUUGUCUCCUGCACUCUAGUUGAUCUUUCAUUGAUCCUGUUAUAGUUACUAUUCUAUAGAUUUAUCGAGUAUGCCUGCAGGAAAAUGAAUCUCAGGGUUGUAUAUGGUGAUAAUAAUUUUAUUAUUAUUAUUAUAUAAUUUUAUUAUUACUAUUUUAUUAAAAUUAUUAUUUUAAUAAUAAGCUUACAUGGAAAUUUACUUUGACCUUAGGUCUCAGGCUCUUAAUUUAUGCUUUAGCCUUUUAAGUAGCAUCUUGUCAAUACAGGCUAAAGAAAGAUGCUUGAGUUGUGAUAUGUGAAGAAUUAGAUCUGGUAGAUCAUCUCCAAGGAUUGGCAUGUUGAAGUGGUGGAGAGGCUUAUGAAUUCCUGAGAUCCUGAGAGCAAUGCCAUCUGGAAUCUAGCUACUGGUAUGGUCACCCAUGGUGGUAAGGCCAAGGAGCGGGCUCCAGACAAAGAGCAGUCCAACCAAGAACUUAACAGUGGUGCUGGUGGAAGAUGGUGAUGCAUCACGACAGCAGUGAAGGCAGAGGAAGGCUCAGUGGUGAAGGGUCUCUAGACAUCUUACGUUCCAUACCACUGGACCCUGGUCCUGAUCUGUCAAGGACCAUGUGGUGGCUGCCCCUGUAUAAGCCUACCCACAUUACACAAAGUCACAUGCAGGCAUUCUCUAUUCAAGGAAAACACACUAGCAACCUCCUUGGAAAAUAUCAUACUUGAUUUAAUUGCACUGUAUAUAUAGCAAGGAUCACAAUGCUCACACUUCUCUCAACCUUGCCACUUUUCAUUAAAUCUCUGGUAGAUAGAUGAACCUUUCACAAGAUGCUUGAAUGUGAGUCUAUGGACCAUUCAGAAGGUGUAUAGGUGUGAGUCUGGACCUUUAAAAAGAUGAUGGAUGUGGAUUUAUGGACCAUUCAGAAGAUGAUGGAUGUGGAUCUAUGGACCAUUCAGAAGAUGAUGGAUGUGGGUCUUUGGUCCAUUCAGAAGAUGAUGGAUGUGGGUCUUUGGUCCAUUCAGAAGAUGAUGGAUGUGGAUCUAUGGACCAUUCAGAAGAUGAUGGAUGUGAGUCUUUGGUCCAUUCAGAAGAUGAUGGAUGUGGAUCUAUGGACCAUUCAGAAGAUGAUGGAUGUGGAUCUAUGGACCAUUCAGAAGAUGAUGGAUGUGAGUCUUUGGUCCAUUCAGAAGAUGAUGGAUGUGAGUCUUUGCUCCAUUCAGAAGAUGAUGGAUGUGGAUCUAUGGACCAUUCAGAAGAUGAUGGAUGUGGAUCUAUGGACCAUUCAAAAGAUGAUGGAUGUGAGUCUUUGGUCCAUUCAGAAGAUGAUGGAUGUGAGUCUUUGGUCCAUUCAGAAGAUGAUGGAUGUGGGUCUUUGGACCAUUCAGAAGAUGAUGGAUGUGGAUCUAUGGACCAUUCAGAAGAUGAUGGAUGUGGAUCUAUGGACCAUUCAGAAGAUGAUGGAUGUGGAUCUAGGGACCAUUCAGAAGAUGAUGGAUGUGGAUCUAUGGACCAUUCAGAAGAUGAUGGAUGUGGAUCUAUGGACCAUUCAGAAGAUGAUGGAUGUAAGUCUCUGCUAUUGUUCUAAUAAAUUGCAGACUAUAUUUCAAGCCUGGUAAUUCCACAUACUAGCAAUUAAAAAGAGCUGCUGCAGAAAGUCGGGUGGGCCAAGUGGCAAGUACAGGAGGGAAAUGGACAGUCGAUAUUGAUUCGUUUAACAGCCUGUUUUCGCUCAGGCUCCAGCAUCUUUUAGUUUCUGGUGUUUGCAAUUCCACAUGCUAACUAUCCUUUCCCAUGAGCCAUGUUUAACCUAACUUUUACAGUUACCAAGAUAUAUUACAAAUCCCACUGUAAAACCACUUUGUUGUAAAAUGUUAGAGAAAAAGUAACAAGCAUGAGCAGUAAGUAAACAACAGGCUGGAGAUGCAAUGUGCCACCACACUGUUUGGGUGGCCUGUACUGUAUGUAACUUCAACCAGGGUCUUUUUGCCCUUGCAGUUCCUUAACUCUACCCACAAGGAUUCCACAUCUUCCAAUCCUAUGUCACCUCUUUCUGAGGAUUUUAUUUCAAUCUUUUUACCAACACAACCAUCGCACCUCUGCUGCCCACCUGCUUAUCCUUUCAAUACAAGGUCUAUCUUUGAAUGUUAAGUUCCAACUAUGAUCUUCUUUCAGCCACGUCUCAGUAGUGCCCACAACAGUGCUACAAGAUCAUCUACCUUAUUCCAUAUACUGCAUGCUUUCGAAUAUAACACCUUCAGUCCUGUAUUCAUCACCCUUUUCACUUUUGCCCCCAUGUUCACCUCAUCUCACUGACUGCAAUUUUGCCCUAUCAUCUUCCAGUCCUUCCCCACCGUCUCACUAUACACUGCAUCGAUUCAUAUACCAACUGCCCUAUUAUAUACUGUAUACCAUCUGUAACCCUAUUAUUCUGGUUCCCAUUGCCCUGCCAACUUGAUUUAAUAUCUACCCUACAGCUCUAUCAAACCUGCCCACAAGGAUAAACCCUGCAAAAAUUUAAAAAGAGAAUCUUUGUUUCUCUUCCCACAACACUACAUUUUUCUUUUAGUUUUGUAAGUUUCCUCCAGGAGGACCACAACCUUGUCGUGGUUUGGAGGCUUGUGUGCCUCAAUGAUCCAGAGAGCUAUGUUGGCUGGAGUCAGGGCUUUACGCUUUAGCUCUUGGUAAGGUCACCCAUGCCAAACAGGUCGAAGGGUAGAGAACAGACUAAGAGGGGUCCACCGGUCCUCCAGGUUCAGGGGUUCAGCUCAAGGCUAACGACUCUGACUGAUAAAUCAAAAUUAUUACAGGCAAUCAGAAUCCUUCUCGAUCUGAGUGCAACGGUAUUACUGAGUCUCCAUCAAGGUCUUGCAUGACUGGCAGCAGUGAAAACUGAGAGGAAGCUACUGGCCCAAUGAAAGAAGCCCUGAAACUGCCACAGAUGGAGUAUCUUCAUUGCUGCCCUAAACACCAGCGGUGUAACAAAUAGUAAAUACAAUGCUGCCUAGCCUGCUGUGUUCCACAUAUAUAGUCCAAGACCUUGAAUGACAUGUUCUACAAAUUGAUGGUACUUUGAGCUGGAUAUUGAAGCUGGAGUUUUAAAGUCAAAUGGAAUCAACCCAUCGAAUGAAUCAAGACUGCAAUGCACAAAGAGUUUCAGGAACAUAUGAACAUAGGACGCGGAAGCAAAAGCAGACCAUUCAGCCCAUCAUCCCUGUUCAAUCAUUCAAUAAUAUCAUGGCUGGUCUUUUACCUUAGAGCCAUAGUUCUGAACAGACCCAAUUCCCAUAAUAAAUAAAAACAGAUCAAGUCUUGAAGGUGUUCAGCGGCUGGGUUUCUGCAAUGAUUUGGGGGAGAAGAAAUUUCUUUUCACCUUUUCUCAGACUGAUCCCUUACUUUGAGACUGUCAGGAACCCCAACAAGUCCACAUCUACCAUGAGCUAAUGAAAGAGAAGCAUUACAAAUUGUAGGAGGCCUAUAUUCUGUGCUGCGCAUUUAUUAUGUGUAUAUGUUAACUAGUCACAUUAGUGGGGAGCUGGCAAAAGCGAAGGGAAUAAGUUCCCAGCUCCCAGCCCUGGAGGACACCUACAGCUCACACUGCCUAAGGAAAGCUACACACAUUUGUAAGGACAAUACAUACCCACGCAAUCAUCUGUUUGAACUUCUUCCAUCUGGCAGACAUUAUAAGAUUUUCUAUGCCCGCACUUCCAGACUGAAAAAUAGCUUUUUUCCCAGAGCUACAAUUGCUCUGAACCAUUCGAUCAAGCAUCAUCCAUAAAUUUGUUAUAUUGCUACUUUUAAUACUGGUUUUACGGUUGUCAUGCAUCUGAGUUGCGCUUUUGUACUGCUGGACAUUGCUUGUACUGGCUGGUUACUUGAUUUUAUUUAUUGUUUAUUUAAUUUAUUUGUUGUUUUAUAGCAUUGAGUACAAGAGCUGUAAAGUCAUUGUCGCUGUAUUGGCGCAUGACAAAUUGUACUAUCAAUGACAAUAAAGAUAUUUCAAGUUACUUAUUGAUGCUUAUUUUGUGACCAUCUGUAGCUUGGGAGCAUAGAGGUCAUAUCUUUGCUGACCGCUGAGAUAACGCUCAAUAAUGCUUAAUUGUAUGUUUGCUAAUUGCUAAUAAAGGAGCAGAAUAAGGAAUUCGACUCUUUGGGGCAGUGGCGCGUCACGCAAGUAUAAAACACUGUGGAGUUGCAGGCUGACGGCAAUUGUUUUGUUUUGAUUUUGGAUCCAUUUUGCCACUGCACAAACCUUCCCAGAGCUUGCUUCCCAAAGAAUGAAUUCUUUUUUCAUUUAAACAUGGGCAUAAGGGAAUGUCGAUAGGAUAAGAUUGUUGGUCCAUUGACUCAACUGGACACUAUUUUUAAAACACUUAGAACAUUAUCAUUUCCAAUCCCCAGCCAUUAAUGGUGAAGUUACUAAAUUUACUAGCCGAUCUUUUUAGUAUUUCUUUCAGGAAUUUUUAUGUACUGAAAAGCUAUUUGCAUAAUUACUAAAUCAUUAUGUUCACGACUAUUUUGACAUACUAAUUAACUGAAAAAGCAAUUUUCAAUGCCCAAGGUAAUGAAAGCCAAUAAUCAAUAUGGCUUUUGUUUAGCUACGUUGCCAUCUUCCAACGAUCUUCGGUCUUGCAGACCAAGAUCCAUCCGUUUCUCGAUACUUCCAAUGAUCAGACUAUUCAUGCUGUAUGUCCUAGCCUCCUUAGUAGUCUCAAAACACAUCACAUUAUGUUUAUCAGUGUUAAUACUAUCAGCCAUUUCUCAAAUAUGCACACAAAAUGUUGGAGGAGCUCAGCAGGUCAAGCACCUUAAAACUAUGCCCCCUUGUGUUAGCCAUUUCAUCCCUGGGGAAAAGCCUCUGGCUAUCUAAAUGAUCAAUGCCUCUCAUCAAGUUAUACACCCGUCAGGUCACCUCUCAUCCUCCAUCGCUCCAAGCAGAAAAGACCAAGUACACUCAACCCAUUCUCAUAAGGUAUGCUCUCCAAUCCAGGCAACAUCCUUGCAAAUCUCUUCUGCACUCUCUCUAUAGUAUCCAUGUCCUUCCUGCAGUGGGGUGACUAGAACUGAACACAGUACUCCAAGUGGGAUUUGACCAAGGUCUUAUAUAGCUGUAACAUUACCUCACGGCUCUUGAACUCAAUCCCAUGGUUGAUGAAUGCCAACACACCAUACGCCUUCUUAACCACACUGUCAGCAGCUUUGAGUGUCCUAUCAACACUGACCCCAAGAUCUCUCAGACCCUCCACACCACCAAGAGUCUUACCAUUUAUAUUAUAUUCUGUCUUCAAAUUGGACCUAACAAACUUACUGAAAUCAUACCCCAUUCCCAUUCUGAUCGAUAUAGUUAUGUUUGGAUUCUCUCCCAAACACCCGUGCAUAUUCAAGCAAUCUUCCAAGAACCACAGCCUUGUCAUAGGGUUUGGGGGCUUGCUUGCCUCAAUGACCCGGAGAGCUAUGCUGGCUCUUGGUAGGGUCAUCCAUGCCAAACAGGUUAAAGGGUGGAGGACAGACUAAGAGUGGUCCACUGGUCCUCCAGGUUCAGGGCUAACAACCCUGACUGGUAAAACUAAAAUGUUUUGGAAACAGCAAUGAAUUAUCCUAUAGCUGUGUGAGACAGUCUCUUCCCGGGAUUUGCGUGACUGACAGCACUGAAAACCGAGAGGAAGCUACUGGAGGAAGUCCUAAACACCACCAAGUUGAGAAGAAAGGCCAGCUCUAUCAUCAAGACAGCACACCAUUGGACGCCUGAGGGGUGGAGGAAACAUGGGAGACCAAAGACAACUUGUUGCCGUACCGUAGAGGCAGAAACGAGGACUCUGAACCACACCAGGGUCACCUUAAAGAAGGUGGCCAAGGGCAGACAGAGGACUUCCAUUGCAGCCCCAAACGCCAGCAGUGUAACAGGCAGUAACUUUUCACAUCCAUCCCAUUCUGAUCCAUACAUGCAUGGAUAGGUUUUACUUUUGGAUUCUCUUGAAUGUCUGUGCCUGUCCAAGGAUGCUAAAUCGGCAAAGGGAAUAGUGGAUUUGUUGUGCAUUAUCAGUGCUAUGCAUUAUUGUAUAUUAUCACAUAUAUUGUUAUAUGUGUUAUAUCUGAUAAACACAUACAACAUUACACCCACAUCAAAUUUGCAUCCACAUGGAAUCUCUCAGUAACUCUUUGAAUGCAUUACAAAAGGUUGUAUGAUCAAAAUCCAUUUCACCCCUUAGCCCUGAAGUAUUAUCUGCUCAUAUGUGCCAACAGGGCUGGACUGGUGACUAGAUGUAACUGCG
This is a long non-coding RNA of Hypanus sabinus (Atlantic stingray), 7838 nucleotides long. RefSeq lists it as uncharacterized. Lineage: Eukaryota; Metazoa; Chordata; Chondrichthyes; Myliobatiformes; Dasyatidae. The transcript is spliced from 3 exons. The record is from RefSeq and is a predicted model, not a curated record.